RNAcentral lists this small nuclear RNA (156 nucleotides) under Pteropus vampyrus (large flying fox). RNAcentral describes it as "U1 spliceosomal RNA (ENSPVAG00000028949.1)". The record is from RNAcentral. Lineage: Eukaryota; Metazoa; Chordata; Mammalia; Chiroptera; Pteropodidae.
AUAGUUAACUGGCAGAGAAGAUGCUGUAAUUCUAAAAGGAAGGUUAACUAACAGCACUCAGGGUGUACUAAUCCCUAUAAAGGCUGAUCCCCCAAAUAUAAAAAAUGAGACUGCAUAAUUUGUGGUAGAGGGGUACUGCAACUGCUCUUUCUCCUG